Alligator sinensis (Chinese alligator) is the source of this 1483-nucleotide long non-coding RNA. RefSeq lists it as uncharacterized. The record is from RefSeq and is a predicted model, not a curated record. NCBI's taxonomy places the organism in Eukaryota, Metazoa, Chordata, Crocodylia, Alligatoridae. The transcript has 3 exons.
CAUCGGUGUGUGAAUCUGUAGCUCUUUUCAACAAUUUCUUCACUAUUUGUACUUUAUUUUCCAGCAGACCAUUGGCUUGUGGGUAGGCAGGACUUGAAGUGUUGUGAUGGAAUCCAUAUUAGUUUGCAAACUCUUUAAACUCAAGAUGAUUGAAUUGGGGUCUGGUGUCUGUUCUCACAAUUUGUGGAAUUCCAUGUCUAGCAAAAAUUGAUUUGAUGCAAGUUAUGACAUGGCUUUCUGUUGUGUUUUUGAACGCAAUUUCAGGAUAGUGAGAAUAAUAAUCCAGCACUAAUUCAUGCAGGAAAAAAUUAUGUAUAAGUCAAUGCCCACUUAUAGCACGGAGUUACGGGCUCCUCAAUGACCAUCGUGGGCUAUUUUCUUUGCACUGAUCUGUACUUUAGGCACGUUGUACAAGCCUUCACAGCAUCUUCUAUGUCACUAUUUAUGUUGGGCUGAUAUAGAGCACCCCUUGCUUUCCUUUUGCAUUUUUUCAAUGCCUAGAUGACCCUUAUGUUUUUUGUUUAACAUGUCUUUCUUUAGCACUGCUGGAACAACGAGUCAUGAGCCUUUGAACAAAAUGUCAUCCAGUACUGACAGCUCUUCCUUGGACUGAGAAUACGGGCCAGCAUGCAAGACCUGCCUGCCCCCAGUAAUCAUGGACCAUCUUUGCACUGGACCCUCCCCAAGAUGCACAAGAAACAAAACAGCUCCAGGACCCUCCCCAGGAUGCACAAGCCUGAAACCAACCCAAGGAGGGACACACCUCCAACUCCUUCAGCCAAAGCCACCUUUCCACCCCCCAAAACGAUCAGCACACCUACAGGCAGUGUCAGUAUGAAACACAGAGGACCUGCCUGCCCGCAGUAACCAAAGUCCUCCACAAUCCAUCUUCUGCGCACUGGAGGCCCUAGCCACCGCGAAACACAAGCCCUUCUAGAACUAAAAGGGACAUAAGCAUCCACCUUGCCUUAGUACCACCAGCAACAGAUAUACCCUGUACAUAGCACAAAGGUCCUACCUGCCCCAAUAAACCAAGUACAACAAAGUCCAUCUUCUGAACACUGAUGUCUCCCCUUGACACACAAGCCCAAAACUAACCUCAGGAGGGACACACCUCCAACCCCUCAGCCAAAGCCUUCUGUGAAGCACCCCACAACCAUCUCACCUAGCCCUGCUCCAAGCUAGCAUAACACCUCGUCACCCCCACAAACCCAAAACCCUUUUCGAACUAAAGGGAUGUAAGCAUUCACCUGGCUGUAGUAGCACCAGGGACAGCUACCCCUAUACUUGACACAGAGGCCAUGCCUGCCGUAAUAAACCAAGUUCCACACAGUCCAUCUUCUGAACACUGACACUUCCCUUUGACACACAAGCCCGAAACCAUCCCUAGGCUGGACACAUCCAACCCCUCAGGCAAAACUUCUGUGAAGCACACCAAAACUGUGUGCACAUGUAGCCCCACUUGAAAGUAGCCUAACUCCAG